This 164-nucleotide ribosomal RNA is filed under the name Escherichia coli 99.1781. The record is from RNAcentral. Lineage: Bacteria; Pseudomonadati; Pseudomonadota; Gammaproteobacteria; Enterobacterales; Enterobacteriaceae.
GAACUCAGAAGUGAAACGCCGUAGCGCCGAUGGUAGUGUGGGGUCUCCCCAUGCGAGAGUAGGGAACUGCCAGGCAUCAAAUUUAGCGUGCUGAUAUGGCUCAGUUGGUAGAGCGCACCCUUGGUAAGGGUGAGGUCCCCAGUUCGACUCUGGGUAUCAGCACC